Long non-coding RNA from Perca flavescens (yellow perch), 1259 nucleotides. RefSeq lists it as uncharacterized. Lineage: Eukaryota; Metazoa; Chordata; Actinopteri; Perciformes; Percidae. The transcript is spliced from 3 exons. The record is from RefSeq and is a predicted model, not a curated record.
UUAUGAUGACCCAAUUGACCCCACUGCUUCAAGAUGUCCAUGAGUCACUCUGAUUAGCAGGUUUACAUCUGACGCUACCAAGAAACAACAACAACAACAACAACAACAGGGGAAAAGACCUGCUAGGGCCACCGUAUAUAUCUGGCGUGGAGUAAACAUCCAGCGUUCGCUGACAGCAGCAACGCAACGCGUCGGCGACAUUGAACGCGUAACACACCGCUCAUGAGCGUGGGAGGUCUGAGACUAACUGUUUCUGUCGUUAUUCGAAGCCACCGGAGUUCACGGGUCGCCGCUGCAGGACAAACAAAGUGAAGAAGGAAACGCUGCAGAGUUUGAAUACAUUCAAACUUUAUUGGAAUUCACAGUGCGACGAUGGAGGAGGCAACCGGCUGUUCUCAAAUAAGGGCAGGAGUCAAGUGGGUGAAUAAGUACAGACAUCAAUAACCGGAGGACAAGUGCAUGAAAUUACACGCAGCAGAUCCAUCACGCAACAGCAACAACAAGGAGGAGGAGAACAGGUGACCGCGCCGGGGCAAAGAGGAGACGAGAGGAGGUAAUGAGAGCAGAGGAGAGGAGAUGACACGAGAUGACACGGACAGAGAGCAGGAGGCCCAAGAGGGACGACUGUUUCCUGAUGGAAAAAAUUUAAAAAAAUAAACCGACCAGUCCUCCAAACCAUACAUUUUAUUAAAGUAUUAAACUGUUGCACCAUCCAGUUUGACAUAACUCUGAUCUUGUAUGUUGUCCACAAAAACUAUGACUGUAAAUACCCAUUUACAAACUUUGUCAGUUCGAAGGAUAUAUGUACCAAUUGUUGUGCAUUCAUUUUCGUACAAUAUAGGAACCAAUGUGUUGGAAAAAAACUCUACAUUCUCAAAGACUCAUUACGGUUUGGCUUUAAAAAAAAAAAAAAAAAAAAAAAUGGCAUGAGUCAUGGUCUGAGCAGACCAAGAUGUCAUGUCUGUUCUUGUACACUGCUUUCACUUAUCAGUUCAGACACACGAGAGAAGUCAACGUCAAAGGUUGUUUGUUUUGCUGUCUCGGGACAAGUUGUCCUUUUCACUUGCUAAAUAGUUAUUUCUUACCUACACGAAGGCAAUGCCCGUAACUAUAAAUUGUUGUACUUAAAUAUGUGUUUGAAACAGAAGUAUGGGAAAUGUAUAAGCUAUAUUUAAGCUAAGGAAUCCUUUUGUUCUUCGUAAUGGCGAUAAUUGCUACAUGUGUGUGGCUAGCAAAUGUGUAUAGCUUAUAAGAUGAGA